GGCAGCCUCCAAGCUCAACUUCAACAGCCAAUAACGUAGUUCCGCUUCGUCUCUCGCCGACUGGUUUUGCGUUCUCCGGUCGACGUCCUUUCAUGGUUCCAAACCAAGGAUUCCUAAUUUAAGCAUAUAAACAUGUGUGGACGAAAUUGGGGUUAGGGUUGGACUGUCACUGCCUACUCUGCUGGAAGCCGAACCGGCUCAGUUUCUAUUCGUGAGCAUGAAUAUGUAGCAGAUAUAGAUGCUCUAAUCUGUUCAAUCCGAUGUUGAUUUUGAGGCGGAGGUCGAAAGUGCGGAAUUCUUUGGAUUUCUCUGAGGUUGAGAAAGACAGAGAGGACGAUAAGGAUAGAGGAAAGGAGAAACCAAAGCCAAAGCAAGACGGAGGAGAGAGGAGGAUAAAGAAAUGGACAUGCGUAGACAGCUGUUGCUGGUUCAUUGGUUGUAUAUGUUUGAUAUGGUGGUUUUUGCUUUUCUUGUAUAAUGCAAUGCCUGCCUCUUUCCCUCAGUACGUAGCGGAGGCGAUCACGGGGCCGUUGCCUGACCCGCCUGGCGUGAAAUUGAAAAAGGAAGGGCUAACAGCCAAGCAUCCGGUGGUUUUCGUGCCUGGAAUUGUUACCGGCGGGCUGGAAUUGUGGGAAGGACACCAGUGUGCUGACGGAUUGUUUAGAAAGCGACUCUGGGGUGGCACAUUUGGGGAAGUGUACAAAAGACCGUUAUGCUGGGUUGAGCAUAUGUCACUAGACAAUGAAACUGGACUGGACCCUCCUGGCAUAAGGGUCAGGCCUGUAUCUGGACUUGUGGCAGCUGAUUAUUUUGCACCUGGUUAUUUUGUUUGGGCAGUUUUAAUUGCUAAUUUGGCUCGCAUUGGAUAUGAGGAGAAAACCAUGUAUAUGGCUGCAUAUGAUUGGAGAAUAUCAUUCCAGAACACUGAGGUCAGGGACAGAACUCUGAGCAGGAUAAAAAGUAAUAUAGAACUCAUGGUGGCUACUAAUGGUGGGAGAAAGGUGGUUGUUAUUCCACAUUCAAUGGGUGUUCUGUACUUUCUGCAUUUCAUGAAAUGGGUUGAGGCACCCGCUCCAAUGGGUGGUGGGGGUGGAACAAAUUGGUGUGCUGAGCAUAUAAAGGCGGUGAUGAAUAUUGGUGGACCCUUUUUAGGUGUGCCAAAAGCAGUCUCAGGAUUUUUCUCCAAUGAAGCCAGGGAUAUUGCUGCAGCCAGGGCUUAUGCUCCAGGCUUUCUGGAUAAGGAUGUUUUUGGUCUUCAAACUCUGCAACAUUUAAUGCGGAUGGCUCGCACAUGGGAUUCAACCAUGUCUAUGAUACCAAAAGGUGGGGAUACUAUCUGGGGUGGCCUUGAUUGGUCACCUGAAGGAGUCUACAAUUGUGGUGCAAAGAAACCAAAGAACAAUAAUACACACACUACAGUUCCAAAUGGGAAAGGGGCAUCGAGUUUCAUGGAAGGUGUGAACUAUGGGAGAAUUGUAUCAUUCGGGAAAGAUGUGGCUGAGCUUCAUUCCUCCAAAAUUGAGAGGGUUGAUUUUAGGGAUUCUGUUAAGGGUAAUAACCCUGUGAACAAGUGUGACGUCUGGACAGAAUACCAAGAAUUGGGUGUUGGGGGUAUUAAAGCUGUUGUGGACUACAAAGUUUACACAGCUGGAUCAAUUUUGGAUCUGCUUCAUUUUGUUGCUCCCAAGCUUAUGAAACGUGAAGGUGCUCAUUUUUCACAUGGCAUUGCAGACAAUUUAGAUGAUCCUAAAUAUACACACUACAAAUAUUGGUCGAACCCCUUAGAAACAAGAUUACCGAAUGCUCCCGAGAUGGAGAUUUUUUCUAUGUAUGGAGUUGGAAUACCCACUGAAAGAGCAUAUGUUUACAAGCUAACUUCGACUGCUGAAUGCUCAAUUCCAUUUCAGAUAGAUACCUCAGCAAAUGGUGGAAGUGAGAACUCUUGUUUAAAAGAUGGAGUUUUUUCUGUUAAUGGAGAUGAGACAGUUCCUGUCUUGAGUGCAGGUUUUAUGUGUGCAAAAGGUUGGAGAGGGAAAACCAGAUUCAAUCCUUCAGGCAUCCGUACUUACAUAAGGGAAUAUAAUCAUGCUCCUCCAGCUAAUCUUCUGGAGGGCCGAGGCACCCAAAGUGGUGCUCAUGUUGAUAUGCUGGGGAACUUCGCAUUAAUAGAGGACAUUUUAAGGGUAGCAGCGGGAGCGACUGGGGAGGAGUUGGGUGGAGACCAGGUUCACUCUGAUAUUUUCAAGUGGUCCAAAAAGAUCAACUUGCAGCUAUAGUUCAUACGUUAAUGUAUGACCCUUGCAAUUUUCUAGCUGGCCUCACAGUAGUCACAUUCAUCCUUUGGCAGCGAAGAUCAUACACUCACUUUUCCCACUGGCACUUCAAGAAACUCCUAACAGACUACGGAUGCAGCCGAAGUCUGUGAAUUGUGGAGGUACAUUAAUUAGCUCAAAUUCAACAAGGUUUCUGUUACAAAACCAAUGCCAUCCCUCCUGUAUCAUCCCUUCAUUGUUUUGGAAAGGGCCUAACUAGUUUACCGAUUGGUGCAUUUGAGUUCUCUAGUCUCCUGAAAUUAUGGGUAACCUGUAAUUAUCCAACUAUUGUGAAUAAAAUGUGUUAUAAGUUUGCUUUCCCUUUGAAUUUUUGAUCUUGCUGCUUUCACAAGGGGCACCAUACUUGGUUCUUCUUGGUGUCUAGGGUUGAUCUAGACGCGGCCACCAAACGGCCGGUUCUGGGUCUGAACUGGCACUUUAGUAUGAUUGAAUUCAUACAUGGUUCCGGUUUGAUUUUGAUUUUGAUCAAACCCAAAGGUUGAAUUUUAUUUUAUUUUCUUUUUUAAAUUUCGAUUUUGAUUGAAACUGAACUGACUAUUUAUGAUACGGUUUAAAUCAAAAUUUGAUAAAUUCAGUUUUAAAUUAAACUGAAUUGGUUUUGAUUCUGAAUCAGCCCUCGGCCAGAUUCAGGUUUAUCUAUGUUUUUUUUGGGUGGAGAUUUAAUUAAACGAGCUUGUUAGCCCAUUUUGAUUCUAAAUUCUAAUGGAAUUCACGAGGCCUUUUAACAGAGUUGCUGGCCGCUUGAAAGCUGACAGAGCAUCUGCUUCGUAUAGCUAGCGUCUUGUGCUUCUUCUACAAUUUAAAAAGAAAAAUAGUCUGGAGGGUGCUUCUUCUGAGGUUGGACGUUUCAGAGCUGGCUUCACUUGGCCUCCUAUAAUUAUAAAUCAAAGUAACAUAUUUUAAGAACAAUCUCAUUUUGUUUUGCAUAAUCUAGGUCCUAAUGUCAAG
This 3281-nucleotide unclassified non-coding RNA is filed under the name Hevea brasiliensis (rubber tree). The record is from RNAcentral. Lineage: Eukaryota; Viridiplantae; Streptophyta; Magnoliopsida; Malpighiales; Euphorbiaceae.